UACGUAGGGUGCGAGCGUUAAUCGGAAUUACUGGGCGUAAAGCGUGCGCAGGCGGUUUUGUAAGCCAGAUGUGAAAUCCCCGGGCUCAACCUGGGAAUGGCAUUUGGGACUGCAAGGCUGGAGUUUGGCAGAGGAGACUGGAAUUCCCGGUGUAGCAGUGAAAUGCGUAGAUAUCGGGAGGAAUACCGAUGGCGAAGGCAGGUCUCUGGGCUAUAACUGACGCUCAUGCACGAAAGCGUGAGGAGCAAACAGG
RNAcentral lists this ribosomal RNA (253 nucleotides) under uncultured bacterium. RNAcentral describes it as "partial 16S ribosomal RNA". It matches the Rfam family "Bacterial small subunit ribosomal RNA", at positions 524 to 776 of the family's 1533-position model. The record is from RNAcentral.